This 382-nucleotide ribosomal RNA is filed under the name Pantoea agglomerans. RNAcentral describes it as "bacterial SSU rRNA". It matches the Rfam family "Bacterial small subunit ribosomal RNA", at positions 83 to 468 of the family's 1533-position model. The record is from RNAcentral. Lineage: Bacteria; Pseudomonadati; Pseudomonadota; Gammaproteobacteria; Enterobacterales; Erwiniaceae.
CUUGGGUGACGAGUGGCGGACGGGUGAGUAAUGUCUGGGGAUCUGCCCGAUAGAGGGGGAUAACCACUGGAAACGGUGGCUAAUACCGCAUAACGUCGCAAGACCAAAGAGGGGGACCUUCGGGCCUCUCACUAUCGGAUGAACCCAGAUGGGAUUAGCUAGUAGGCGGGGUAAUGGCCCACCUAGGCGACGAUCCCUAGCUGGUCUGAGAGGAUGACCAGCCACACUGGAACUGAGACACGGUCCAGACUCCUACGGGAGGCAGCAGUGGGGAAUAUUGCACAAUGGGCGCAAGCCUGAUGCAGCCAUGCCGCGUGUAUGAAGAAGGCCUUCGGGUUGUAAAGUACUUUCAGCGGGGAGGAAGGCGAUGCGGUUAAUAACC